GAUGAACGCUAGCGGCAGGCCUAAUACAUGCAAGUCGAGGGGUAUGGGUUGCUUGCAACCCAGAGACCGGCGCACGGGUGCGUAACGCGUAUGCAAUCUACCUUAAUCAGGGGGAUAGCCCGGAGAAAUCCGGAUUAACACCGCAUGACAUUGAGUUGUGGCAUCACAGUUCAAUCAAAUAUUUAUAGGAUUAAGAUGAGCAUGCGUGACAUUAGUUAGUUGGUGAGGUAACGGCUCACCAAGACCACGAUGUCUAGGGGAUCUGAGAGGAUGACCCCCCACACUGGUACUGAGACACGGACCAGACUCCUACGGGAGGCAGCAGUAAGGAAUAUUGGUCAAUGGGCGCAAGCCUGAACCAGCCAUGCCGCGUGCAGGAAGACGGCCCUAUGGGUUGUAAACUGCUUUUGUACCGGAAUAAACCUUCUCUUGCGAGAGAAGCUGAACGUACGGUAAGAAUAAGGAUCGGCUAACUCCGUG
RNAcentral lists this ribosomal RNA (480 nucleotides) under uncultured bacterium. RNAcentral describes it as "partial 16S ribosomal RNA". It matches the Rfam family "Bacterial small subunit ribosomal RNA", at positions 28 to 507 of the family's 1533-position model. The record is from RNAcentral.